This 420-nucleotide ribosomal RNA is filed under the name uncultured bacterium. RNAcentral describes it as "bacterial SSU rRNA". It matches the Rfam family "Bacterial small subunit ribosomal RNA", at positions 358 to 770 of the family's 1533-position model. The record is from RNAcentral.
GGAAUAUUGGACAAUGGGGGCAACCCUGAUCCAGCCAUGCCGCGUGUGUGAAGAAGGCCUUCGGGUUGUAAAGCACUUUCAGUGGUGAGGAAGGCGUUGUAGUUAAUAGCUGCAACGAUUGACGUUAGCCACAGAAGAAGCACCGGCUAACUCAGUGCCAGCAGCCGCGGUAAUACGGAGGGUGCGAGCGUUAAUCGGAAUUACUGGGCGUAAAGCGCACGUAGGCGGUUUGUUAAGCAAGAUGUGAAAGCCCAGGGCUCAACCUUGGAAUUGCAUUUUGAACUGGCAAGCUAGAGUUUUGAAGAGGGUGGUAGAAUUUCCUGUGUAGCGGUGAAAUGCGUAGAUAUUGGAAGGAAUACCAGUGGCGAAGGCGGCCACCUGGUCAAAAACUGACGCUGAGGAGCGAAAGCGUGGGGAGCA